UCCUGUCAGGAACUUUGGAUUAAGAAUUGGUGGAAUACCAGGCAAUCCGAAACUCUCUUAACUGAUAUUCAAGAGAAAAGGAUUCUCGAAAGAUUCAUAGAAUUAGAAGAACUUUCUCUCUUGGACGAGAUGAUAAAAGGGAAACUAAAGACACAUGUACAAAAACCUCCUACAUGAAUACACAAGGAAAUAAUACAAUGGGUCAAAAUAAAUAAUGAGGAUCAUCUCCAUACCAUUUUGCAUUUCUCGACAAAUAUAAUCUGUUUGGCUAUUCUAAGUGGUUCUUUAUGCCUCAACAUAAUGUCAACUACUGCAGCCUUUUAG
Molecule: ribosomal RNA, 324 nt
Filed under: Triticum aestivum (bread wheat)
Lineage: Eukaryota; Viridiplantae; Streptophyta; Magnoliopsida; Poales; Poaceae
Description: partial small subunit ribosomal RNA
Source: RNAcentral